RNAcentral lists this ribosomal RNA (426 nucleotides) under uncultured prokaryote. RNAcentral's name for it is "bacterial SSU rRNA". It matches the Rfam family "Bacterial small subunit ribosomal RNA", at positions 355 to 796 of the family's 1533-position model. The record is from RNAcentral.
UGGGGAAUUUUCUGCAAUGGGCGAAAGCCUGACGGAGCAACGCCGCGUGCGGGAUGACGGCCUGUGGGUUGUAAACCGCUUUUCUCAGGGAAGCAGAUCUGACGGUACCUGAGGAAUCAGCAUCGGCUAACUCCGUGCCAGCAGCCGCGGUAAUACGGAGGAUGCAAGCGUUAUCCGGAAUUAUUGGGCGUAAAGCGUCCGCAGGCGGCCUAUCAAGUCUGCUGUUAAAGGUCGGGGCUCAACUCCGGUUCGGCAGUGGAAACUGAUAGGCUAGAGUACGGUAGGGGUAGAGGGAAUUCCCAGUGUAGCGGUGAAAUGCGUAGAUAUUGGGAAGAACACCAGUGGCGAAGGCGCUCUACUGGGCCGUAACUGACGCUGAGGGACGAAAGCGUGGGGAGCAAACAGGAUUAGAUACCCCCGUAGUCC